GGGCCGGUAGCUCAGCUAGGUAGAGCGGCGGUCGGAACCCGUAGGUCCCGGGUUCGAAUCCCGGCCGGCCCG
This 72-nucleotide transfer RNA is filed under the name Thermofilum sp. NZ13. Its description in RNAcentral is "tRNA-Ser". It matches the Rfam family "tRNA". Rfam says of the family: Transfer RNA (tRNA) molecules are approximately 80 nucleotides in length. Their secondary structure includes four short double-helical elements and three loops (D, anti-codon, and T loops). Further hydrogen bonds mediate the characteristic L-shaped molecular structure. tRNAs have two regions of fundamental functional importance: the anti-codon, which is responsible for specific mRNA codon recognition, and the 3' end, to which the tRNAs corresponding amino acid is attached (by aminoacyl-tRNA synthetases). tRNAs cope with the degeneracy of the genetic code in two manners: having more than one tRNA (with a specific anti-codon) for a particular amino acid; and 'wobble' base-pairing, i.e. permitting non-standard base-pairing at the 3rd anti-codon position. Lineage: Archaea; Thermoproteati; Thermoproteota; Thermoprotei; Thermofilales; Thermofilaceae. The record is from RNAcentral.